UACAGAGGUCUCAAGCGUUGUUCGGAUUCAUUGGGCGUAAAGGGUGCGUAGGUGGUGCUGUAAGUCAGGUGUGAAAUUUCGGAGCUUAACUCCGAAACUGCAUUCGAUACUGCGGUGCUUGAGGACUGGAGAGGAGACUGGAAUUUACGGUGUAGCGGUGAAAUGCGUAGAUAUCGUAAGGAAGACCAGUGGCGAAGGCGGGUCUCUGGACAGUUCCUGACGCUGAGGCACGAAGGUCAGGGGAGCAAACGGG
This 253-nucleotide ribosomal RNA is filed under the name uncultured bacterium. Its description in RNAcentral is "partial 16S ribosomal RNA". It matches the Rfam family "Bacterial small subunit ribosomal RNA", at positions 524 to 776 of the family's 1533-position model. The record is from RNAcentral.